CCUACGGGAGACAGCAGUGAGGAAUAUUGGUCAAUGGACGGAAGUCUGAACCAGCCAUGCCGCGUGCAGGAAGACGGCUCUAUGAGUUGUAAACUGCUUUUGUACAAGGGUAAACCUGAAUACGUGUAUUCAGCUGAGAGUACUGUACGAAUAAGGAUCGGCUAACUCCGUGCCAGCAGCCGAGGUAAUACGGAGGAUCCAAGCGUUAUCCGGAUUUAUUGGGUUUAAAGGGUGCGUAGGCGGAUUGUUAAGUUAGAGGUGAAAUGUCCGAGCUUAACUCGGGAACUGCCUCUAAAACGGUUGGUCUUGAGAAUAGAUGCGGUAGGCGGAAGGUAUGGUGUAGCGGUGAAAUGCUUAGAGAUCAUACAGAACACCGAUUGCGAAGGCAGCUUACCAAUCUAUAUCUGACGUUGAGGCACGAAAGCGUGGGGAGCAAACAGGAUUAGAUACCCUUGUAGUC
RNAcentral lists this ribosomal RNA (460 nucleotides) under uncultured bacterium. RNAcentral's name for it is "partial 16S ribosomal RNA". It matches the Rfam family "Bacterial small subunit ribosomal RNA", at positions 338 to 795 of the family's 1533-position model. The record is from RNAcentral.